This 442-nucleotide ribosomal RNA is filed under the name uncultured bacterium. RNAcentral describes it as "SSU rRNA". It matches the Rfam family "Bacterial small subunit ribosomal RNA", at positions 26 to 518 of the family's 1533-position model. The record is from RNAcentral.
AGAGCGAACGCUGGCGGCAGGCCUAACACAUGCAAGUCGAACGCCCCUUCGGGGGAGUGGCGGACGGGUGAGUAACGCGUGGGAAUGUGCCCUUUGGUACGGAACAACUGAGGGAAACUUCAGCUAAUACCGUAUGUGCCCUUCGGGGGAAAGAUUUAUCGCCAUUGGAGCAGCCCGCGUUGGAUUAGGUAGUUGGUGGGGUAAAGGCCUACCAAGCCUACGAUCCAUAGCUGGUCUGAGAGGAUGAUCAGCCACACUGGGACUGAGACACGGCCCAGACUCCUACGGGAGGCAGCAGUGGGGAAUCUUGCGCAAUGGGCGAAAGCCUGACGCAGCCAUGCCGCGUGUAUGAUGAAGGUCUUAGGAUUGUAAAAUACUUUCACCGGGGAAGAUAAUGACGGUACCGGAGAAGAAGCCCGGCUAACUUCGCGCCAGCAGCCGC